This 115-nucleotide transfer RNA is filed under the name Naumovozyma castellii. RNAcentral's name for it is "tRNA-Leu". It matches the Rfam family "tRNA". From Rfam's summary of the family: Transfer RNA (tRNA) molecules are approximately 80 nucleotides in length. Their secondary structure includes four short double-helical elements and three loops (D, anti-codon, and T loops). The record is from RNAcentral. Lineage: Eukaryota; Fungi; Ascomycota; Saccharomycetes; Saccharomycetales; Saccharomycetaceae.
GGUUGUUUGGCCGAGCGGUCUAAGGCGCCUGAUUCAAGAAGUUUUCUUGACUGUGGAACACCACAGGAAUACUCAGGUAUCGUAAGAUGCAAGAGUUCGAAUCUCUUAGCAACCA